RNAcentral lists this long non-coding RNA (1404 nucleotides) under Setaria viridis. RNAcentral's name for it is "long non-coding RNA (SVIR_LNC009547)". The record is from RNAcentral. Lineage: Eukaryota; Viridiplantae; Streptophyta; Magnoliopsida; Poales; Poaceae.
AAAAUCUCUCAGAAUAGUUUCCAUCGCUAAUCUAUACUACUAAGAAUUUAACAAGAUUUUAUGAACAACAUAGCUAUGCCUUCAAAAUAAAAGGAGAUAAAAUAACAUGCAUUAUAUUCAGUAACGGGAACAUAUGGUGCACCUCAACAAGUAAUUUUUCCUUCAUAAAUAGUUCAUAAGAAACCUAACAGAAUUUAUUUUGCAUUUUUAUCAUUUUUCUAUGAUUUUAUACGGAUUUCCAAAGUUUUAGCCAUUUCAAUUAAAAUUAAACCUGAAAAAGGAAAAAUGCUUUUGCAAGAAAGCCCUCCGAAACAACUUUUUCCAACAGGUCCACCCUUCCUUUUACAAGCUAGCCCCUGACUCUUACACUUAAGCCCCUUGACAAACUUCCACCUCACACUUAAACCUAGACAUUUAAUGAAAACCCCCCUGGACUUCUGUCUUCCUCGCACAUAGCACCCUGGUCUUCUUCAACCUCGAGCUCGCCCGCACGCCUGCACGGCGGUGACGACAGCACGGCCACACCGGCACAGUGGCGCCUCCUCCCACCCCGAAGACUACCCCAUUGCCUUCCCCAUCACUUUCUUCCCCUCUUUUCUCCUCAAACACUAACCCGAGACAACGGCUUGACUAGAGACGGCGCACGGCCGGCGGCGAGCUCACGAACGAGUGUGGCAACUAGCCUAAGAAGAUGAAGUGGUGGGCGCUAGGGCACCAGGAGCUCACCGUAGCUCCGUUUGUGGGGUUAGUAGGGCAAAAGGAGGAUGGGAGGUGAGGGUUUGAUGGCGGGGUGGAGUUUGUGCGGGCGGCGGCAAUGGCGGCAUAGGAAAUUCAAUUUCUGGUGGUUUGGGCCAUGGCACAGGGCAAUAGGUGGUGGAGGAGGUAGCUGGAGGGGUUGAAGAGUAGUGGGUGGUGGUGAUUUGAGAAUGGCGGGGGUCAGUGGCGGAUUGUGCUAGCGAACAGUGGAGACGCUCUCGGCUGUGUUUUGCUCUAGUUUUUGGCUAUGUCAUGGAAGCGAAUGGAAAGGGAGAGAGAGAGGGAGACCGGCAGCUUGAGGGGGGUCAUGGUCGUCGGUCUGCGGCAUGGCCCUAGCAAGUAGUGGCAAGGCACAAGUGAGCAGUGGCGGCCAAGCGCGGCAGUGGCGGUCAGGCGCGGCAAGAGUGACGGCGUGGCGUGGCGUCAGUGGCCUAGCGCGGUGGAGUUGGUGGCGAUGAGAUGGCAAGGGUAUGUGAUGAGGACAUCGCUCCUUUAGUUACACAUGAUAUUCCUCCAAUUGUUCUGCAGGGACCAAUCACUAGAGCUUGAGCUAGACAAUUGAAUCAACAGGUGAGCUCAUUCUUGUGUACUUCUUUUCGUAAUUUUGAGAAUGGGUUGCUACCCAAUGAUGUUAUUGUGCUUAGGAAU